UACAGAGACUGCAAGCGUUAUUCGGAUUCACUGGGCGUAAAGGGUGCGCAGGCGGCCGGGUGUGUCAGAUGUGAAAUCCCGAGGCUUAACCUCGGAACUGCGUCUGAAACUACUCGGCUAGAGUACUGGAGAGGGUAACGGAAUUCACGGUGUAGCAGUGAAAUGCGUAGAUAUUGGGAGGAACACCAGUGGCGAAGGCGGCUCACUGGACCGGAACUGACGCUGAGGCGCGAAAGCGUGGGGAGCAAACAGG
Molecule: ribosomal RNA, 253 nt
Filed under: uncultured bacterium
Lineage: Bacteria
Description: partial 16S ribosomal RNA
Rfam family: Bacterial small subunit ribosomal RNA
Source: RNAcentral